RNAcentral lists this ribosomal RNA (2488 nucleotides) under Allobacillus halotolerans. RNAcentral describes it as "partial 23S ribosomal RNA". It matches the Rfam family "Bacterial large subunit ribosomal RNA", at positions 1 to 2487 of the family's 2925-position model. The record is from RNAcentral. Lineage: Bacteria; Bacillati; Bacillota; Bacilli; Caryophanales; Bacillaceae.
GAUUAAGUUAUUAAGGGCGCACGGUGGAUGCCUUGGCACUAGAAGCCGAUGAAGGACGUUACUAACGACGAUAUGCUUUGGGGAGCUGUAAGUAAGCUUUGAUCCAGAGAUUUCCGAAUGGGGAAACCCAGCAUGAGUUAUGUCAUGUUAUCGAUAUGUGAAUACAUAGCAUAUCAGAAGGCACACCCGGAGAACUGAAACAUCUUAGUACCCGGAGGAAGAGAAAGAAAAUUCGAUUCCCUUAGUAGCGGCGAGCGAAACGGGAAGAGCCCAAACCAACAAGCUUGCUUGUUGGGGUUGUAGGACACUCUAUACGGAGUUACAAAGGACGACAUUAGACGAAUCAUCUGGAAAGAUGAAUCAAAGAAGGUAAUAAUCCUGUAGUCGAAAAUGUUGUCUCUCUUGAGUGGAUCCUGAGUACGACGGAGCACGUGAAAUUCCGUCGGAAUCUGGGAGGACCAUCUCCUAAGGCUAAAUACUCUCUAGUGACCGAUAGUGAACCAGUACCGUGAGGGAAAGGUGAAAAGCACCCCGGAAGGGGAGUGAAAUAGAACCUGAAACCGUGUGCUUACAAGUAGUCAGAGCCCGUUAAUGGGUGAUGGCGUGCCUUUUGUAGAAUGAACCGGCGAGUUACGAUUUGAUGCAAGGUUAAGCAGUAAAUGUGGAGCCGUAGCGAAAGCGAGUCUGAAUAGGGCGUUUAGUAUUUGGUCGUAGACCCGAAACCAGGUGAUCUACCCUUGGUCAGGUUGAAGUUCAGGUAACACUGAAUGGAGGACCGAACCGACUUACGUUGAAAAGUGAGCGGAUGAACUGAGGGUAGCGGAGAAAUUCCAAUCGAACCUGGAGAUAGCUGGUUCUCUCCGAAAUAGCUUUAGGGCUAGCCUCAAGUGAUGAUUAUUGGAGGUAGAGCACUGUUUGGACGAGGGGCCCCUCUCGGGUUACCGAAUUCAGACAAACUCCGAAUGCCAAUUAAUUUAACUUGGGAGUCAGAACAUGGGUGAUAAGGUCCGUGUUCGAAAGGGAAACAGCCCAGACCACCAGCUAAGGUCCCAAAAUAUAUGUUAAGUGGAAAAGGAUGUGGCGUUGCCCAGACAACUAGGAUGUUGGCUUAGAAGCAGCCAUCAUUUAAAGAGUGCGUAAUAGCUCACUAGUCGAGUGACACUGCGCCGAAAAUGUACCGGGGCUAAACAUAUUACCGAAGCUGUGGAUUGUCCUUUGGACAAUGGUAGGAGAGCGUUCUAAGGGCGUUGAAGCAUGAUCGUAAGGACAUGUGGAGCGCUUAGAAGUGAGAAUGCCGGUGUGAGUAGCGAAAGACGGGUGAGAAUCCCGUCCACCGAUUGACUAAGGUUUCCAGAGGAAGGCUCGUCCGCUCUGGGUUAGUCGGGUCCUAAGCUGAGGCCGACAGGCGUAGGCGAUGGAUAACAGGUUGAUAUUCCUGUACCACCUAUAAUCGUUUUAAUCGAUGGGGGGACGCAGUAGGAUAGGCGAAGCGUGCGAUUGGAUUGCACGUCUAAGCAGUAAGGCUGAGUAUUAGGCAAAUCCGGUACUCGUUAAGGCUGAGCUGUGAUGGGGAGAAGACAUUGUGUCUUCGAGUCGUUGAUUUCACACUGCCGAGAAAAGCCUCUAGAUAGAAAAUAGGUGCCCGUACCGCAAACCGACACAGGUAGUCAAGAUGAGAAUUCUAAGGUGAGCGAGCGAACUCUCGUUAAGGAACUCGGCAAAAUGACCCCGUAACUUCGGGAGAAGGGGUGCUCUUUAGGGUUAACGCCCAGAAGAGCCGCAGUGAAUAGGCCCAAGCGACUGUUUAUCAAAAACACAGGUCUCUGCUAAACCGUAAGGUGAUGUAUAGGGGCUGACGCCUGCCCGGUGCUGGAAGGUUAAGAGGAGUGGUUAGCUUCUGCGAAGCUACGAAUCGAAGCCCCAGUAAACGGCGGCCGUAACUAUAACGGUCCUAAGGUAGCGAAAUUCCUUGUCGGGUAAGUUCCGACCCGCACGAAAGGCGUAACGAUUUGGGCACUGUCUCAACGAGAGACUCGGUGAAAUCAUAGUACCUGUGAAGAUGCAGGUUACCCGCGACAGGACGGAAAGACCCCGUGGAGCUUUACUGUAGCCUGAUAUUGAAAUUCGGCACAGCUUGUACAGGAUAGGUAGGAGCCUUUGAAACGUGAGCGCUAGCUUACGUGGAGGCGCUGGUGGGAUACUACCCUAGCUGUGUUGGCUUUCUAACCCGCACCACUUAUCGUGGUGGGAGACAGUGUCAGGCGGGCAGUUUGACUGGGGCGGUCGCCUCCUAAAAGGUAACGGAGGCGCUCAAAGGUUCCCUCAGAAUGGUUGGAAAUCAUUCAUAGAGUGUAAAGGCAUAAGGGAGCUUGACUGCGAGACCUACAAGUCGAGCAGGGUCGAAAGACGGACUUAGUGAUCCGGUGGUUCCGCAUGGAAGGGCCAUCGCUCAACGGAUAAAAGCUACCCCGGGGAUAACAGGCUUAUC